GUGUAUUGUGUAAUGUGUUUUUUUCUUCUUUUUUCAGCGAUGGCAUUUUCAGUUCAUUUUGAUAUUGUUAAUUUGACUGUCCGUUUGUUAUAUUAUUAUCCCAGGUAUGGGUAAAUGGCUCCACAGUCUUGUGGGUAACUGUGGAAAGUCAAAGGCUAUGGGAGACAACCCAGAAAGAAAUCCGGACACAGAAGCACUAUUUACGAUUUAUUUACUAUGGAUUUGACAGAAAACUGUAGCCUAUGAAACAAGUGACGAAUUAUUGCAUUAAAAUUUAUUAUGCUGUUUUAUUUAACAAACAUCGCAAUAUUUACGGAGAGAACCUAUAUAAAAUAAGAAAUUGGUAGGCAACACACAGAGCUAGAAAUAAGAGGCCAUUGUAGUUACUGAUGUUCGAAAAUCAAUUCAGAAUAUACAAAUUGAAAAAUAAUGUGAGGGAAACGCAUGCAAUAUAGUUAGAGCGAAAAGUAUCCUGCCAUGUAUGCAUUGCCCACCAUGCUAAACUCACACUAAGAUCAGACGAAUGUUUGGAACUCAUAUUUAUGGUUUUAAUGUUUCUGCCCAGUGAUAUUCGAUGCCUUCAAAUUUGAAAAAAGAAGAAAAAAAACCCAAACGUUGGAGAACUGAUAAAACAAAAAAGAAACAAAUGUUUAGCCAAAUUCUAUUAAGGUGAUUGAGAGCUAUAGAUUAGAAACAUUGCUAUAUUUUAAAUGAUUUCCAAAAAUGUAUUUACCCA
This 736-nucleotide long non-coding RNA is filed under the name Mytilus galloprovincialis (Mediterranean mussel). The record is from RNAcentral. Lineage: Eukaryota; Metazoa; Mollusca; Bivalvia; Mytilida; Mytilidae.